Molecule: long non-coding RNA, 1619 nt
Organism: Neogale vison (American mink)
Lineage: Eukaryota; Metazoa; Chordata; Mammalia; Carnivora; Mustelidae
Source: Ensembl
GGACUCAAUCCCAGGACCAUAGGCUCAUGACCUGAGCCACCCAGGCACUCCCAUCUUUUUUUUUUUCCACUUAAUUACAUGCUAAGCACCAUGUUAAUUUUUUUUCUUUAAUUGAGACUUUUUUAAAAGAGAUUUUAUUUAUCUAUUUGACAGACAUCAAGAGAGGGAACACAAGCAGGGGGAGUGGGAGAGGGAGUAGGCUUCCGAUUGAGCGGGAAACCUGAUGCAGGGCCUGAUCGCAGGACCCUGGGAUCACGACAGGUCUAAGGCAGACGCUUAACCACUGAGCCACCCAGGCGCCCCACCAUGCUAAUUUUCUUGCCUGUAUUUAACUCUUAAAAUUACCCUGUGACAUAGGGGCUAUUAUUGUGCCCAUUCUACAGAUGAAGAAGCAGAGAUUAAGUGACUUGCCUGUGGGCAUGGAGUGUGGAGGCAGUCUUCUAACUCAGGUUGGCCUUACUUGGAAGCCAUUGGAGAGUAUGAGGCAUUUUUCAGUCAUGGCCUUUUAUUGGAAUUAUUUUGAUCUUGAAUUAGAUUAGAAAGAGGGAAAGUCUUCUCUCUCCCACAGGAGCUAGCCCAGUGCUUCCCAUAUAGGAGGAAGCUAUGAAAGAUUUUCUGGCAGCGACAGCUGUUAACAAAGACAAGUGGAGAAUUACAUGCUGGUUUGUGGUGCAGUAAGAUUGAACUUUACUUCGCCCUAAUUAGUCAGUUGGUUUAAUCACAUUUGUGGUGCUUGCAGGCCUUAGAAGUUACAGCUGGAAGGGACCUUAGCACUCAUCAACUCUAACUCCCACAUUUCACAGCCAGAGAAACAGUUGCAGAAACGAGAUGGCUUGUCCAAGGGCACACAUCUCAUUAGUUGCAAAGCAAGGACAAGAUCAGAGCGGACUCCUACCACCCUGCGUCAUUCUCCAAUCUAAUUCACAAAUUCACCUCCUUUCUUCAAAUCAGGCUCCCUCUCCUGCCCACAUGUGGUCCCCUGAUGCCUGGUGCAGUCAGUGAGCAGCCCGGGCCUCCCACCCGAAUCGGGCCUGCUUCCUGGCGUGUCAGCAGGCCCUCCGCCAGCAUUGAGGAGUUGGGCUUACUGGGAAGGGGGCGCGGGGGUGAACCUCUGUGCCCGGUCCAGUCAAGCUGCCUCCAUCAGAUCCGGAGGCGUCCGCAUGAUGGAGGUGUGAUGACUGCUGGCUUUAUGAUCUAGAGCCCGAACCUGCAGCAGGACCGAUGGCCCAGGCUGGUGACCACUUCCCCGUCCCCGCUGCUGCGGUCUUCCCCAUUCUGAAGGCCCACAGCGGUUGAGGUCUGUGCCACGCCAGUGAGAACUUGGCCAUGCGCUGCCCAGGGGUGUUCCUGUUGCACCGACAGAGCUGGUCCGGCCUCCCCAGCAAGAGUUAGGGGCUCCUUCAGGACUGGGAUGGGGCGGCUGGUACUACCCUGACCUCCAGCUUCUUGAUGGCACCAGAUGACACCUGCUUUGCACCGGGGGGCCUCGUCUCUCAGCUUUUACGACUUUACCCUCACAAUACUUGGCCCAGGGAGGCCCUCAGUUCAUGGUUCCUAGAUGAACGAGUGAUAUUUUUUUCAUUAAUAAAGGACAAGAAAGACCUUUCUGAAAAUUUGCA